This 206-nucleotide long non-coding RNA is filed under the name Vigna radiata. Its description in RNAcentral is "long non-coding RNA (VRAD_LNC000884)". Lineage: Eukaryota; Viridiplantae; Streptophyta; Magnoliopsida; Fabales; Fabaceae. The record is from RNAcentral.
UUUUUUACGUGGUGGUCUUCUAUAAAUUCCUUGUUGUAAAAACCGCAACCAUUAUAGUGCAUUUGCUUCCUGAGACGGAAAGACACUGAAUGUAGGCAUUGUUGGCUGAACCAGUAUAAAAACCAUUGUUUGAUUUUCUCUAUCCCUGCACUUUUACUUAUAGUCGACUUUACUAUUUGCGUAGUCAACUACGUUUUUCUGCUCAC